Molecule: ribosomal RNA, 1714 nt
Filed under: human gut metagenome
Description: bacterial LSU rRNA
Rfam family: Bacterial large subunit ribosomal RNA
Source: RNAcentral
GUAGGGGAGCGUUCUGUAAGCCGUUGAAGGUGGCCUGUGAGGGUUGCUGGAGGUAUCAGAAGUGCGAAUGCUGACAUAAGUAACGAUAAUGCGGGUGAAAAACCCGCACGCCGGAAGACCAAGGGUUCCUGUCCAACGUUAAUCGGGGCAGGGUGAGUCGACCCCUAAGGCGAGGCCGAAAGGCGUAGUCGAUGGGAAACAGGUUAAUAUUCCUGUACUCGGUGUUACUGCGAAGGGGGGACGGAGAAGGCUAUGUUGGCCGGGCGACGGUUGUCCCGGUUUAAGCAUGUAGGCGGAUGUUCCAGGUAAAUCCGGAACGUUAUCAACGCUGAGGUGUGAUGACGAGGCACUACGGUGCUGAAGUGACAAAUGCCCUGCUUCCAGGAAAAGCCUCUAAGCAUCAGGUAACAUCAAAUCGUACCCCAAACCGACACAGGUGGUCAGGUAGAGAAUACCAAGGCGCUUGAGAGAACUCGGGUGAAGGAACUAGGCAAAAUGGUGCCGUAACUUCGGGAGAAGGCACGCUGAUGGUAGGUGAAGCGACUUGCUCGUGGAGCUGAAAUCAGUCGAAGAUACCAGCUGGCUGCAACUGUUUAUUAAAAACACAGCACUGUGCAAACACGAAAGUGGACGUAUACGGUGUGACGCCUGCCCGGUGCCGGAAGGUUAAUUGAUGGGGUUAUCCUCACGGAGAAGCUCUUGAUCGAAGCCCCGGUAAACGGCGGCCGUAACUAUAACGGUCCUAAGGUAGCGAAAUUCCUUGUCGGGUAAGUUCCGACCCGCACGAAAGGCGUAACGAUUUGGGCACUGUCUCAACGAGAGACUCGGUGAAAUCAUAGUACCUGUGAAGAUGCAGGUUACCCGCGACAGGACGGAAAGACCCCGUGGAGCUUUACUGUAGCCUGAUAUUGAAAUUCGGCACAGCUUGUACAGGAUAGGUAGGAGCCUUUGAAACGUGAGCGCUAGCUUACGUGGAGGCGUUGGUGGGAUACUACCCUAGCUGUGUUGGCUUUCUAACCCGCACCACUUAUCGUGGUGGGAGACAGUGUCAGGCGGGCAGUUUGACUGGGGCGGUCGCCUCCUAAAAGGUAACGGAGGCGCUCAAAGGUUCCCUCAGAAUGGUUGGAAAUCAUUCAUAGAGUGUAAAGGCAUAAGGGAGCUUGACUGCGAGACCUACAAGUCGAGCAGGGUCGAAAGACGGACUUAGUGAUCCGGUGGUUCCGCAUGGAAGGGCCAUCGCUCAACGGAUAAAAGCUACCCCGGGGAUAACAGGCUUAUCUCCCCCAAGAGUUCACAUCGACGGGGAGGUUUGGCACCUCGAUGUCGGCUCAUCGCAUCCUGGGGCUGUAGUCGGUCCCAAGGGUUGGGCUGUUCGCCCAUUAAAGCGGUACGCGAGCUGGGUUUAGAACGUCGUGAGACAGUUCGGUCCCUAUCCGUCGUGGGCGUAGGAAAUUUGAGAGGAGCUGUCCUUAGUACGAGAGGACCGGGAUGGACAUACCUCUGGUGUACCAGUUGUCGUGCCAACGGCAUAGCUGGGUAGCUAUGUAUGGACGGGAUAAGUGCUGAAAGCAUCUAAGCAUGAAGCCCCCCUCAAGAUGAGAUUUCCCAACUUCGGUUAUAAGAUCCCUCGAAGAUGACGAGGUUAAUAGGUUCGAGGUGGAAGCGUGGUGACACGUGGAGCUGACGAAUACUAAUCGAUCGAAGACUUAAUCAA